UACGAAGGGGGCUAGCGUUGCUCGGAAUCAUUGGGCGUAAAGGGUGCGUAGGUGGCGCCGUAAGUCGGGUGUGAAAUUUCGGAGCUUAACUCCGAAACUGCAUUCGAUACUGCGGUGCUUGAGGACUGGAGAGGAGACUGGAAUUCAUGGUGUAGCAGUGAAAUGCGUAGAGAUCGUGAGGAAGACCAGUGGCGAAGGCGGCUCACUGGCCCGGUACUGACGCUGAGGUGCGAGAGCGUGGGGAGCGAACCGG
RNAcentral lists this ribosomal RNA (253 nucleotides) under uncultured bacterium. RNAcentral describes it as "partial 16S ribosomal RNA". It matches the Rfam family "Bacterial small subunit ribosomal RNA", at positions 524 to 776 of the family's 1533-position model. The record is from RNAcentral.